GCCGGUGGUGAUGCGCUUAGGGGGCACACCCGUUCCCAUCCCGAACACGAUGGUUAAGACCUAAGCGGCUGAUGGUACUGCACUGGAGACGGUGUGGGAGAGUAGGUGGCUGCCGGCU
Molecule: ribosomal RNA, 118 nt
Filed under: Clostridium sp.
Lineage: Bacteria; Bacillati; Bacillota; Clostridia; Eubacteriales; Clostridiaceae
Also listed under: 4 other names
Source: RNAcentral